GAUCAAUGGAACUCAACAGACGAAACUCUUCCUUCCUCUACAACAUGCUCAGUCUCUGCUCUUACUCGCUAGGACCACCUCAACCCUCUUCACAUUGAGGUGGAGGUGCUCUGGGGUUCACCCAGAUGACCAUCCAGUCAAAUCAAAGCUUGAAAGAUAAGCUUGUAUCAGGACAAACUAGAGAGGUUCAUAGACUUGAGUAAAGCACCACUUCGACCCUCUACUACCUUGAAUUAUCAGGCUGCAACACGUUUUAUUGAGCAUUCUUUCCCUGACCUGA
Molecule: long non-coding RNA, 280 nt
Organism: Juglans regia (Persian walnut)
Lineage: Eukaryota; Viridiplantae; Streptophyta; Magnoliopsida; Fagales; Juglandaceae
Exons: 4
Source: RefSeq, a predicted model, not a curated record